RNAcentral lists this ribosomal RNA (253 nucleotides) under uncultured bacterium. RNAcentral describes it as "partial 16S ribosomal RNA". It matches the Rfam family "Archaeal small subunit ribosomal RNA", at positions 474 to 727 of the family's 1478-position model. The record is from RNAcentral.
UACCAGCACCCCGAGUGGUCGGGACGAUUAUUGGGCCUAAAGCAUCCGUAGCCGGUUCUACAAGUCUUCCGUUAAAUCCACCUGCUUAACAGAUGGGCUGCGGAGGAUACUAUAGAGCUAGGAGGCGGGAGAGGCAAGCGGUACUUAGUGGGUAGGGGUAAAAUCCGUUGAUCCAUUGAAGACCACCAGUGGCGAAGGCGGCUUGCCAAUACGCGCUCGACGGUGAGGGAUGAAAGCUGGGGGAGCAAACCGG